GCUGGGCAUGGUGGUGCAUGCCUGUAAUCCCAGCACCACUGGAGGCUGAGGCAGGCGGAUGAUGAGUUUAAAGCAAACCUCAGCAAAAGCAAGGUGCUAAGCAACUCAGUGAGACCCUGUCUCUA
This 125-nucleotide small RNA is filed under the name Marmota monax (woodchuck). The record is from RNAcentral. Lineage: Eukaryota; Metazoa; Chordata; Mammalia; Rodentia; Sciuridae.